GUCGGUCCUCGGUAGUGGUUCCCGGGCAGCGGCCCGGGGGCUUCGAUCGAAGACCGGC
This is a non-coding RNA of Amycolatopsis australiensis, 58 nucleotides long. NCBI's taxonomy places the organism in Bacteria, Bacillati, Actinomycetota, Actinomycetes, Pseudonocardiales, Pseudonocardiaceae. The record is from Rfam.